RNAcentral lists this transfer RNA (67 nucleotides) under Nipponnemertes punctatula. RNAcentral describes it as "tRNA-Ser". The record is from RNAcentral. Lineage: Eukaryota; Metazoa; Nemertea; Enopla; Monostilifera; Cratenemertidae.
GAAAGAAACAAAGAUAAGCUGUGGCUGCUAACUAUGGCUUGAGUAGGUAGAGUUAUUCUUGUUUUUG